AACGAACGCUGGCGGCAGGCCUAACACAUGCAAGUCGGACGGUAGCACAGAGGAGCUUGCUCCUCGGGUGAAGAGUGGCGGACGGGUGAGUAAUGUCUGGGGAUCUGCCCGAUAGAGGGGGCUAACCACUGGAAACGGUGGCUAAUACCGCAUAACGUCGCAAGACCAAAGAGGGGGACCUUCGGGCCUCCAACAAAUGGAUGAACCCAGGAGGGAUUAGCAAGUAGGCGGGGUAACGGCCCACCUAGGCGGCGAUCCCUAGCUGGUUUGAGAGGAUGACCAGCCAAACUGGAACGGAGACACGGUCCAGACUCCUACGGGAGGCAGCAGUGGGGAAUAUUGCACAAUGGGCGCAAGCCUGAUGCAGCCAUGCCGCGUGUAUGAAGAAGGCCUUCGGGUUGUAAAGUACUUUCAGCGGGGAGGAAGGCGAUGUGGUUAAUAACCGCAUUGAUUGACGUUACCCGCAGAAGAAGCACCGGCUAACUCCGUGCCAGCCGCCGCAGUAA
RNAcentral lists this ribosomal RNA (506 nucleotides) under uncultured bacterium. RNAcentral describes it as "partial 16S ribosomal RNA". It matches the Rfam family "Bacterial small subunit ribosomal RNA", at positions 29 to 523 of the family's 1533-position model. The record is from RNAcentral.